GUACUUACUUUGGCAGCACAUAUACUAAAAUUGAAAUGAUACAGAGAUCAGCAUGGCCCCUGUGUAAAGAUGACAUGCAAAUCCAUGAAGCUUUCCAUAUUUUU
This 104-nucleotide small nuclear RNA is filed under the name Myotis davidii. Lineage: Eukaryota; Metazoa; Chordata; Mammalia; Chiroptera; Vespertilionidae. The record is from RNAcentral.